UGUCUUCUAAAUAAAGACCAGUAUGAAUGGCUAAAUGAGGACAAGCCUGUCUCUUAUGACCAAUCAGUGAAACUGAUCUCCCAGUACAAAAGCUGGGAUAAGCACAUAAGACGAGAAGACCCUGUGGAGCUUAAAACAAACCACUACACCCCAACGUUAGUGCAAUGUUUUAAGUUGGGGCGACUUCGGAACAAAACAAAACUUCCGAGCACGGGGCCACCCGCCCCAGCCAAGGCCAACAAGCCAAACAAUAAAGCCGACCCGGCCACGCCGAAAAACGAACCAAGUUACCCCAGGGAUAACAGCGCUAUCUUCUUCAAGAGUCCCUAUCGACAAGAAGGUUUACGACCUCGAUGUUGGAUCAGGACACCCGAAUGGUGCAGCCGCUAUUAAAGGUUCGUUUGUUCAACGAUUAACAGU
RNAcentral lists this ribosomal RNA (420 nucleotides) under Dasia grisea. RNAcentral describes it as "partial 16S rRNA". It matches the Rfam family "Bacterial large subunit ribosomal RNA", at positions 1970 to 2594 of the family's 2925-position model. The record is from RNAcentral. Lineage: Eukaryota; Metazoa; Chordata; Lepidosauria; Squamata; Scincidae.